UAGGGAAUCUUCGGCAAUGGACGGAAGUCUGACCGAGCAACGCCGCGUGAGUGAAGAAGGUUUUCGGAUCGUAAAACUCUGUUGUUAGAGAAGAACAAGGAUGAGAGUAGAAUGUUCAUCCCUUGACGGUAUCUAACCAGAAAGCCACGGCUAACUACGUGCCAGCAGCCGCGGUAAUACGUAGGUGGCAAGCGUUGUCCGGAUUUAUUGGGCGUAAAGCGAGCGCAGGCCGUUUCUUAAGUCUGAUGUGAAAGCCCCCGGCUCAACCGGGGAGGGUCAUUGGAAACUGGGAAACUUGAGUGCAGAAGAGGAGAGUGGAAUUCCAUGUGUAGCGGUGAAAUGCGUAGAUAUAUGGAGGAACACCAGUGGCGAAGGCGGCUCUCUGGUCUGUAACUGACGCUGAGGCUCGAAAGCGUGGGGAGCAAACAGG
This 430-nucleotide ribosomal RNA is filed under the name Fusobacteriota bacterium. RNAcentral's name for it is "Fusobacteria bacterium partial 16S ribosomal RNA". It matches the Rfam family "Bacterial small subunit ribosomal RNA", at positions 355 to 776 of the family's 1533-position model. The record is from RNAcentral. Lineage: Bacteria; Fusobacteriati; Fusobacteriota.